AGUGAACGCUGGCGGUAGGCCUAACACAUGCAAGUCGAACGGCAGCACAGUAAGAGCUUGCUCUUACGGGUGGCGAGUGGCGGACGGGUGAGGAAUACAUCGGAAUCUACUUUUUCGUGGGGGAUAACGUAGGGAAACUUACGCUAAUACCGCAUACGACCUACGGGUGAAAGCAGGGGAUCUUCGGACCUUGCGCGAUUGAAUGAGCCGAUGUCGGAUUAGCUAGUUGGCGGGGUAAAGGCCCACCAAGGCGACGAUCCGUAGCUGGUCUGCGAGGAUGAUCAGCCACACUGGAACUGAGACACGGUCCAGACUCCUACGGGAGGCAGCAGUAGGGAAUAUUGGACAAUGGGCGCAAACCUGAUCUAGCCAUACCGCGUGGGUGAAGAAGGCAUUCGGGUUGUAAAGCCCUUUUAUUGGGAAAGAAAAGCAGCAGGUUAAAACCCCGCUGUUCUGACGGUACCCAAAGAAUAAGCACCGGCUAACUUCGUG
This 492-nucleotide ribosomal RNA is filed under the name uncultured bacterium. RNAcentral's name for it is "partial 16S ribosomal RNA". It matches the Rfam family "Bacterial small subunit ribosomal RNA", at positions 29 to 507 of the family's 1533-position model. The record is from RNAcentral.